UGGGGAAUCUUGGGCAAUGGGCGAAAGCCUGACCCAGCAACGCCGCGUGAAGGAUGAAGUAUUUCGGUAUGUAAACUUCGAAAGAAUAGGAAGAAUAAAUGACGGUACUAUUUAUAAGGUCCGGCUAACUACGUGCCAGCAGCCGCGGUAAUACGUAGGGACCAAGCGUUGUUCGGAUUUACUGGGCGUAAAGGGCGCGUAGGCGGCAAUUCAAGUCAUCUGUGAAAUCUCCGGGCUUAACUCGGAACGGUCAGAUGAUACUGCUUUGCUAGAGUGCAGAAGGGGCAAUCGGAAUUCUUGGUGUAGCGGUGAAAUGCGUAGAUAUCGGGAGGAACAUCAGUGGCGAAGGCGGCCCUCUGGUCCAGUACUGACACUCAAGUGCGAAAGCGUGGGGAGCAAACAGGAUUAGAUACCCAGUAGUCCCUGAGCGGGCUGGCAAGGCGCAU
This 446-nucleotide ribosomal RNA is filed under the name uncultured bacterium. RNAcentral describes it as "bacterial SSU rRNA". It matches the Rfam family "Bacterial small subunit ribosomal RNA", at positions 355 to 825 of the family's 1533-position model. The record is from RNAcentral.